RNAcentral lists this ribosomal RNA (329 nucleotides) under uncultured eukaryote. Its description in RNAcentral is "partial 18S ribosomal RNA". It matches the Rfam family "Eukaryotic small subunit ribosomal RNA", at positions 1470 to 1796 of the family's 1831-position model. The record is from RNAcentral.
CCCUUAGAUGUCCUGGGCCGCACGCGCGCUACACUGAGUGUCUGAGAUACGAGUCUGCCUGGUCCGGCAAGGUCUAGGUAAUCGCUAAAAGACACAUCAUGCUUGGGAUAGAUUAUUGCAAAUAUUAAUCUUGAACGAGGAAUUCCUAGUAAGCGCAAGUCAACAGCUUGCGUUGGUUACGUCCCUGCCCUUUGUACACACCGCCCGUCGCUACUACUGAUUGGAUGUUUAAGCGAGGUUCUCGAACUGCUAGCGACUUAGCUUCGGUGAGGUCGCAGUGUGGGAAGUGAACCUAGCUUUGGUGUCUAGAGGAAGUAAAAGUCGUAACA